Molecule: ribosomal RNA, 253 nt
Filed under: uncultured bacterium
Lineage: Bacteria
Description: partial 16S ribosomal RNA
Rfam family: Bacterial small subunit ribosomal RNA
Source: RNAcentral
UACGUAGGGUGCAAGCGUUGUCCGGAAUUAUUGGGCGUAAAGAGCUCGUAGGCGGUCUGUCGCGUCGGCUGUGAAAUCCCGAGGCUCAACCUCGGGUCUGCAGUCGAUACGGGCAAACUAGAGUAUUGCAGGGGAGACUGGAAUUCCUGGUGUAGCGGUGAAAUGCGCAGAUAUCAGGAGGAACACCGGUGGCGAAGGCGGGUCUCUGGGCCUUACCUGACGCUGAGGCGCGAAAGCUAGGGGAGCGAACAGG